Molecule: transfer RNA, 76 nt
Filed under: Mycobacteroides abscessus
Lineage: Bacteria; Bacillati; Actinomycetota; Actinomycetes; Mycobacteriales; Mycobacteriaceae
Also listed under: 10 other names
Description: tRNA-Arg
Rfam family: tRNA
About the family: Transfer RNA (tRNA) molecules are approximately 80 nucleotides in length. Their secondary structure includes four short double-helical elements and three loops (D, anti-codon, and T loops).
Source: RNAcentral
GCCCGCGUAGCUCAGUGGAUAGAGCGCCUGCCUCCGAAGCAGGAGGCCCCGAGUUCAACUCUCGGCGUGGGUACUA